GUGCGUACCGGCGGCCCGGAGCGCCGGUCAUGCUCUCCUCAUGAACAUCGGGGCGCUCAUCGGCGGGUCGUUCGGUCUGGUCUACGUGCU
This 90-nucleotide transfer RNA is filed under the name Pseudonocardia hydrocarbonoxydans. Its description in RNAcentral is "tRNA-Glu". The record is from RNAcentral. Lineage: Bacteria; Bacillati; Actinomycetota; Actinomycetes; Pseudonocardiales; Pseudonocardiaceae.